Long non-coding RNA from Daphnia carinata, 490 nucleotides. RefSeq lists it as uncharacterized. The transcript is spliced from 3 exons. The record is from RefSeq and is a predicted model, not a curated record. Lineage: Eukaryota; Metazoa; Arthropoda; Branchiopoda; Diplostraca; Daphniidae.
UAAGUGUCUGUGUUAGAGAGCUUAGCGAAAACCAAAUAUCGAAUUGAACCACAGGAAGGAAAUGUAUGACAGCUUUCACAGAGCUGUCUACGUAAAAAUGCAAGAGGAACUGGAGAUAGAAGAGGAUUACCUCGUUUCAUUAGAGGAAAACGAACUUGGUUCCUACUUCGGCAAAACCUGGUUUUACAUUAAAGAAAUGUGGACAAUGGUUUAUCGCACCAGCAUUAUGACACUCGGAAAUAACACUACUAACCAGAUGAGCGGAAAUAGGAAGUCAAACACAUUUCUUUCUCCCCACACGGCACAUCUCCUUCCUGGGAGCCUCCUAAAAGGUUCUUAGCCUCCCCAGCGCAUCAAUCAUGCCGUUGGGAAGCACUGAGGAAGGCCACUAGCAGGAGUGUUUUAGGAGCUCCCUUCAUGAAAGCAAGACUCAUGCGUUUAAAUAAUGGGAAAUAUAAAUCGAUUGGAUUUGGUAACGACAUUAGAGCUG